UCCGCCAUGUCUGCCGCUAUGCUCUCCUUGGGUGAGCGGAUUGGUAAAGAACUUUUAGGCGGUACAACCGAUCGCAUCUAUGUUGAGGGCGACGAAGGCUUUACAAUUUUGACCAGUUGUGGCGACGAGGCGGUGUUUCUUGUCCUCGCGAGCAAGGAAGCCAAGCAGGGUAUUUUGAUGUUAGAAAUUAAACGCACUGUUUCUGAUCUCAGACCCGCUUUGAUGUAGUUAGCAUCUUUUGAUUCUCUGCCUAAUUGGUGAAGUACUUUUUCCGCUCAAUGCUCCUUUAUUAGCAGUGGCUGUAAACCAAGUACCAGAAAUGUCUAGGAGUCUAGGUAUUCCAACUCCAAUAAAAGAUUAGAAGUGGCUCAGCCUUUAAAUUGUAGGAUUGCUCUAAGCCAGUAUUAAGGUUUAGCUUCUAGAGUAUGCAAUUUAAAAAGCCAAAAAAUCCUGUAGGAUAUGUUGGCACUUUGUGCAUCACUAAGUAGGUAA
RNAcentral lists this unclassified non-coding RNA (492 nucleotides) under plant metagenome. Its description in RNAcentral is "partial contains 5.8S ribosomal RNA, internal transcribed spacer 2, and large subunit ribosomal RNA". The record is from RNAcentral.